ACUAAACCUAAAGGCGAAAUGAAAGUAAACGUCCGCAUCCAGCGGACAGAGGGAAGAUGGUUGGUCUUCAAGACCGACCCGCAUUCCCGGGGCGUCUCAUUCUCAUUGCGAGAGGAGGCGCACCAAGAGCGUACACGCUGGGACCCGAAAGAUGGUGAACUAUGCCUGGUCAGGACGAAGUCAGGGGAAACCCUGAUGGAGGUCCGUAGCGAUUCUGACGUGCAAAUCGAUCGUCUGAACUGGGUAUAGGGGCGAAAGACUAAUCGAACCAUCUAG
Molecule: ribosomal RNA, 276 nt
Filed under: Hippodamia variegata
Lineage: Eukaryota; Metazoa; Arthropoda; Insecta; Coleoptera; Coccinellidae
Description: partial 28S ribosomal RNA
Rfam family: Eukaryotic large subunit ribosomal RNA
Source: RNAcentral